RNAcentral lists this ribosomal RNA (1135 nucleotides) under Salmonella enterica. RNAcentral's name for it is "bacterial SSU rRNA". It matches the Rfam family "Bacterial small subunit ribosomal RNA", at positions 1 to 1125 of the family's 1533-position model. RNAcentral also lists the same sequence under 1 other name. The record is from RNAcentral. Lineage: Bacteria; Pseudomonadati; Pseudomonadota; Gammaproteobacteria; Enterobacterales; Enterobacteriaceae.
AAAUUGAAGAGUUUGAUCAUGGCUCAGAUUGAACGCUGGCGGCAGGCCUAACACAUGCAAGUCGAACGGUAACAGGAAGCAGCUUGCUGCUUCGCUGACGAGUGGCGGACGGGUGAGUAAUGUCUGGGAAACUGCCUGAUGGAGGGGGAUAACUACUGGAAACGGUGGCUAAUACCGCAUAACGUCGCAAGACCAAAGAGGGGGACCUUCGGGCCUCUUGCCAUCAGAUGUGCCCAGAUGGGAUUAGCUAGUUGGUGAGGUAACGGCUCACCAAGGCGACGAUCCCUAGCUGGUCUGAGAGGAUGACCAGCCACACUGGAACUGAGACACGGUCCAGACUCCUACGGGAGGCAGCAGUGGGGAAUAUUGCACAAUGGGCGCAAGCCUGAUGCAGCCAUGCCGCGUGUAUGAAGAAGGCCUUCGGGUUGUAAAGUACUUUCAGCGGGGAGGAAGGUGUUGUGGUUAAUAACCGCAGCAAUUGACGUUACCCGCAGAAGAAGCACCGGCUAACUCCGUGCCAGCAGCCGCGGUAAUACGGAGGGUGCAAGCGUUAAUCGGAAUUACUGGGCGUAAAGCGCACGCAGGCGGUCUGUCAAGUCGGAUGUGAAAUCCCCGGGCUCAACCUGGGAACUGCAUUCGAAACUGGCAGGCUUGAGUCUUGUAGAGGGGGGUAGAAUUCCAGGUGUAGCGGUGAAAUGCGUAGAGAUCUGGAGGAAUACCGGUGGCGAAGGCGGCCCCCUGGACAAAGACUGACGCUCAGGUGCGAAAGCGUGGGGAGCAAACAGGAUUAGAUACCCUGGUAGUCCACGCCGUAAACGAUGUCUACUUGGAGGUUGUGCCCUUGAGGCGUGGCUUCCGGAGCUAACGCGUUAAGUAGACCGCCUGGGGAGUACGGCCGCAAGGUUAAAACUCAAAUGAAUUGACGGGGGCCCGCACAAGCGGUGGAGCAUGUGGUUUAAUUCGAUGCAACGCGAAGAACCUUACCUGGUCUUGACAUCCACAGAACUUUCCAGAGAUGGAUUGGUGCCUUCGGGAACUGUGAGACAGGUGCUGCAUGGCUGUCGUCAGCUCGUGUUGUGAAAUGUUGGGUUAAGUCCCGCAACGAGCGCAACCCUUAUCCUUUGUUGCCAGCGAU